GGUUAAGCGACUAAGCGUACACGGUGGAUGCCCUGGCAGUCAGAGGCGAUGAAGGACGUGCUAAUCUGCGAUAAGCGCCGGUAAGGUGAUAUGAACCGUUAUAACCGGCGAUUUCCGAAUGGGGAAACCCAGUGUGACUCGUCACACUAUCAUUAACUGAAUCCAUAGGUUAAUGAGGCGAACCGGGGGAACUGAAACAUCUAAGUACCCCGA
This 213-nucleotide ribosomal RNA is filed under the name Salmonella enterica subsp. enterica serovar Infantis. RNAcentral describes it as "partial 23S ribosomal RNA". It matches the Rfam family "Bacterial large subunit ribosomal RNA", at positions 1 to 214 of the family's 2925-position model. Lineage: Bacteria; Pseudomonadati; Pseudomonadota; Gammaproteobacteria; Enterobacterales; Enterobacteriaceae. RNAcentral also lists the same sequence under 3 other names. The record is from RNAcentral.